RNAcentral lists this ribosomal RNA (549 nucleotides) under uncultured bacterium. Its description in RNAcentral is "bacterial SSU rRNA". It matches the Rfam family "Bacterial small subunit ribosomal RNA", at positions 355 to 896 of the family's 1533-position model. The record is from RNAcentral.
UGGGGAAUUUUGGACAAUGGGCGAAAGCCUGAUCCAGCAACGCCGCGUGAGUGAUGAAGGCCUUCGGGUUGUAAAGCUCUGUCAGACGGAACGAAUAAGGGUGACCUAACACGUCAUCCCCUGACGGUACUGUCAAAGGAAGCACCGGCUAACUCUGUGCCAGCAGCCGCGGUAAUACAGAGGGUGCAAGCGUUGUUCGGAAUUACUGGGCGUAAAGGGCGCGUAGGCGGCCCGCCAAGUCCCGUGUGAAAGCCCCCGGCUCAACCGGGGAACGGCGCGGGAAACUAGCAGGCUUGAGUUCGGGAGAGGGAAGCGGAAUUCCGGGUGUAGCGGUGAAAUGCGCAGAUAUCCGGAGGAACACCGGUGGCGAAGGCGGCUUCCUGGACCGACACUGACGCUGAGGCGCGAAAGCUAGGGGAGCAAACGGGAUUAGAUACCCCGGUAGUCCUAGCCCUAAACGAUGAGCACUGGGUGUAGAGGGUAUGAACCCCUUCUGUGCCGAAGCUAACGCAUUAAGUGCUCCGCCUGGGGAGUACGGUCGCAAGGCUG